This 1991-nucleotide long non-coding RNA is filed under the name Citrus x clementina. RNAcentral's name for it is "Citrus clementina (C. clementina) long non-coding RNA (CCLE_LNC004586)". Lineage: Eukaryota; Viridiplantae; Streptophyta; Magnoliopsida; Sapindales; Rutaceae. The record is from RNAcentral.
AUUUAUUAAAUAUUAUUUAUUUUAUUUUAAAAAUUAGGGUAAAAAGGGAAAAUGGAGGAGUGGAUUCCCACUCCCAAGUCCCACUUGUUGCGUAAAUUAGCAAGUGUACUAGUCGGCACAAGUAAUAUAAUGAAGAGUAGAGUAUCAUCCCACAGAGAUUGUAUAUCCUAUUAGUUACUGAAAUUAUUCCAACUCUAAUUUAUUUGAACAAUCGAAUAAAUGAAUUUAGAUUAAAAUAAAAUAAAAUAAAACAAUUAAAAAUUAAAUAAAGAUGCAGACAGUAAUAGAAAUCACCAAGAGAUUAAGACACUAGGACAUCCGAUUUCACCAUAACCAAUCCAAUUUAAUCCUCCAUCUAUGCUAUUAAAAUUUAUUACCCAUGUUGACAGUGAAUUUUCCUAAUUUAUUCAAUAUCCUCUCUCGAGUAAUAUAAAAAAUAUCUCCACAUAUCAACCCACUAUAUCUCUAUGUGAAUUUAAAUAUGCAAAGAUUCAUUAAGCUCUAUGAAAAUUCUUAGAUAAAACUGCACGAAUCACGUUGGCACAUCUCUGUCUUUCGUUCAAUUCAUGGCAUCCAUUACACAGAGCAAAAAUACAUAAAUCUCCUCUCGGUCUCAUUAUGUAUCCUCAAAUCAUUCAAAUAUUAGUCAGAUAUUUAAAAGCAUUAAGCACAAUAAUAAACACUCAAUCAUGGAAUAAUUAAUUAAAAAUAACAUAGAUUCAUGGAAUUAAAUCUUCAUAGUUAGGCUACAUCGUAGCCCUAGUAAAAUAAAUUAGUUCAUGGAAAUAUAAAGAGAAUUCAUUAAUUUAAUUGGAAACAUUCAAGCAAGAUAAUAGAGAAGAGAGAAAGAAAAACUCAAGAAUUAAUGUGUCUUCCUUCUGCUCUAAAUUAUUCCUGCUGCUCUUCGGUUUUUGUUCAAGACUUCCGGCUGCUGCUCUAUUAUUUCUUUUCUCUUGGCUUCCUAUUAUCUUCCUUGUGCGGCUGCCUUCUUUCCCUUUUAUAAUGUUGUGGUUUCUUCCAAAUCCUUUUCAUUAAAGGAUUUCAAAACAAAACAAAUCCAGCCCACGAAUCCUUAAAUCAAAAGGAUUUUUAAAACAAAACAAUUCUAGCCACCUUUUAAGCCCAUCCACGUGACUUGUAAAGUUUAAUUGGCCAAUUUGUAAAUUAAUUCUUUAAUGCUCCCCAACUUGCUGCCAUAUUUGUCAACCAAAUAUUCAAUGCUCCCCCCACGUGUUGCAUGCAUGAUGAUUAAAUUCAAUCAUCCUUUAUUUGGCUUUUUAUUUCUUUCCCUCUUGCUUCCACAUUAUUUUCAUUAUACUUCAAUUUAUUUUCUCUUUAAGUUUCUUUUUUCAUAAAUAUUCCCAAUAUUCCUACAAUGACAAAAUAUAAAAAUUAAGAUAAAAAUUAAUAUAAUAAAAUAUAAUUUAAGAUAAAAUUAAGUUAUGGAAGCAUUAAAAUAAUAGAUAAAUUAUGAACAUAUCACCACCUCCUCCCACGGAGUGGGAUUCCCACUCCCCCCUUAAAAAUUACAAGUAAACACUGGAGUGGGAGGAAUCCACACCCCUCACUCCCACUCCAUAAAGUAAACACUACCUAAGUUCGUGAAACUAGUAUAAAUUGCAUUACAUUUGAAUCUAAAACUUCGUAAUUUAUAUUUUAUCAUUGUAGGUCAAAUAAGAAAAAGCUAUGACAACUCAAUAAAUAUUAAACUAUUUUUUUGAAUCAAAAUAUUAAACCAAUUAUAAAUUGAAUUUCUAUAAAAUUGUUUAACUUCAAAACAACAAACAACUAUAGUUAUUGCCAUUAAAUUAAUCAACAAGUCAUUUAUAUCAUCAAGGACUUAAAUACAUCUAUUCCAAAUAUGAAUAAAGUUUGGUGAUACAUAGCACCAUAUCCUUUGAAAAAUGAAAGAGACCGAUUGCAGAUAAUAUAAUAAAGUAAGAGACUAAGAGAAAUUGUCAACCUUUUUUUUCAUACUAAAAUUGAUAUAU